RNA transcript from Camarhynchus parvulus, 671 nucleotides. It is a transcript of the gene named transmembrane protein 234, with no coding region annotated. Lineage: Eukaryota; Metazoa; Chordata; Aves; Passeriformes; Thraupidae. The transcript is spliced from 6 exons. The record is from RefSeq and is a predicted model, not a curated record.
GCGGCGUUGCCAUGGCGACCGCGGGGCAGGCGCUGGCCCUGGCGCUGGUGGCCGCGCUCUGGGGCGGUACCGGGCCGUUCCUGCGGGCGGCAGCCGCGGGCGUGGAGGAGCUGCGGGGCCGGGGCCGCCUGCGGCAGCUGCUGGCGGAGCUGCGAUUCCUCAGCCUCAACUGGCAGUACCUGGUGCCCUUCCUGCUCAACCAGGCUGGAUCUCUGCUCUUCUACCUCACCUUGGCCUCCACAGACCUGUCCCUGGCAGUGCCACUCUGCAACUCCCUGGCUUUGGUUGUGACCUUGGUGACUGGGAAAAUCCUGGGAGAGGACAUUGGGGGGAAAAGAGCUGUGGCAGGAAUGCUGCUCACCAUGCUGGGGGUGUCCCUGUGCCUGGCUGGGGCCUGAGGCAGCAGCAGAGGCUGACCCAGGGCUCCUGGCCCAGCCCCACCUGGGCAGGUGUUUUGGGAUGGAUCCCAAACAAAACCCAUGGAUUGCACCCCCAGGGUGGCCCCACUGCAGGGACAGCAGCCAGGUGCUGUCACAUCCCUGUCACGGUUUGGGAAGUCCCAGAGGUCCUGUCCUGUCCUGGCCACCUCCCCCUCAGCCAUGGACACACCAGGAGAAACCAGCGAGCCAGGCAAGAACAGCUUCAGCAUCAGGAAAAGUUUUUUUUUUUUA